Molecule: microRNA precursor, 61 nt
Filed under: Drosophila yakuba
Lineage: Eukaryota; Metazoa; Arthropoda; Insecta; Diptera; Drosophilidae
Description: Dya-Mir-978_pre stem-loop
Source: RNAcentral
GCACUCUACGCCGCUGGCUUACGUUGUACUCGGAAAUCGUGUCCAGUGCCGUUGAUUGCAG